CUUAUGAAAGAUAAGAUACUCAGGUACAAAAUUAUGUACUUGUAGCCUUUAUUUUGAAUAUUAUUGAGAGUUUAUGUUUUUUUUUACACAUAGUUUAAUUUCUUCACUCAAAUUAUGGACAGAGUAAAAGGUAUACAUGUUCAGGAAGAUUAAUAUGCAAACCCACAAACAACCUCAGAAGUUGAAGCUAACGGCUGUACAUUAUUUUGACUAGGAAAAUGGAAUUUUUACUUAGCUCAUAAUCAUUUAGACUGAGUCCAUUAGUCACUUCAUUUUUCACAGAAACUAGUUUGCUGGGAUUGGUUGGACUCUGAUUAGAAAUGUUAUGCACCCAUAUCUGGUCUGGCAGACUUUGGAAGCCACCGUAUUCUAAGUAAUGAGCAAGUCCCAGAAAGGAUAUCGUAAAGGAAUUCCGUCUCUCAUUCGGUGCCAUUGAUUAAACCAGAUUGAGGGAAACAGUGACAGAAAACAAACUUUUUUCUGAAGCACUCUGGACACACUAGCUCUCUCAGUCCCUGAAUUUCUAGGCACAAUGCAACUACAAAUCCCCAGGCGCAUGGCCAGAUGGGGAGAGGCCGUGGUGCAGAAACAGAGUGUACACAAAAGCCACUCCACACCCUGUUCUCUAACGGAUGUUGGGGUCCACGUUGAGAGUGCCGAAUAGGAGGGAAGGUGAACUCUAGAAUAGCCAAUGUGUCCAACUCAUGAUCUGGCUUGUCCAAGGUCAUGCAGGUAGAAAAUAGUGUCAAGGUAAAGACUCGAACUUGGGUGUCCCAGCUCCAAGUCAAUAAAUGCUGUCUCUGUUCCUCUCUCUUACAUCAGCACUCAAGAGCCUCCGACUCCACAAUUAUUUCCUCCGUUCUUGAGGCCUUUCUUCUGGGAAUCAUUCUGGGUGACUGCUGGGAUCCUAGAUCAGAUGGAGUUUCACUCUUGUCGCCCACGCUGGAGUACAAUGGUGCAAUCUCAGCUCACUGCAACCUCUGCCUCCCGAGUUCAAGCAAUUCUCCUGCCUCAACCUCCUGAGUAGCUGGGAUUUCAGGCAUGCACCACCACACCCAUCUAAUUUUGUAUUUUUAGUAGAGAUGGGUAUCUCCAUGUUGGUCAGGCUGGUCUCAAACUCCUGACCACAGCGGAUCUGUCCACCUUGGCCUCCCAAAAAGCUGGAAUUACAGGAAAUGCCUUUCCUGAGGCUCGGAUUGUUGGGAGAGAGAAAGAGGAAGAAAGGAAGAGUGGGAGAAGUGUCCAGUAUGUGUGAUGCAGGCUCAACCGCACAGGAACACAGAGAAAAGCGAAAAUCACAACCAGGCAUGCCCUGGACGUAGCUGUCAAAAACUUACAACCCUAAAAUCCCAGAGUUCAGGUAUUUUCUUCUAGCAACACAAAAAGAACCAAGACAAGCAGGAAAGAGACAUGAUCAGAUUUGCCUAAUCAAAGAAUCACUGUGGAUUCUGGGCAGAAGUUUUACUAAAGGGAGACAGAAGUGGAAGCAGAGACCAUAAGAGUACUCUUCUGCAACACAGGUGAAAAAUGUUGGUGGUUCACAUUAGCAUGAUACAAAGGGAUGUGGAAGAAGUACUGGGAUUUCAGAUGUAUUUUAAGUUACUGCUGGCCUAGCUUAUGGCUUGAAUGUAAAGUGACAUGGGAGAAAAAAAUCAUUACGGGAGGUGUCAACAUUUUUGGCUUCAGCAACUCUGUGCAUGGUGAUCUACAUACAUGGUUAAGGAUGAAGAGCUGAUUUGGGAAGGAAAGUAAGAAAUCAGUUAUUCAGAUCUAGACACAUUAAGCUUAAGAUGCUCAUUAGAUAUUAAACAGAUACUGGGUAGGCAGUUGGGUCUGAGUCUGGAGUUUGAGGAGAGGUUGGGUCAGGAGGAAAACAUUUGGAAAUGAGUAGCAUAUUUUAAGCCAGGAGACUAAAUGAUAUCAUCUUAGCAAAUGAGUAUACGAGAAGCAGCAAGCUAAUGUCUGAGCCUUGGGGCACUCCAGUGUUUAGAGUCUGGGUAGAAAAGAAGACUCCAGCAAUAGGGACAAAUCACAGGAGACCAUCUAGAACAUUCCCCACCACACCUACUAGUCUGUUCGUACCAGUACCCUCCUCUGCUCUUGCUACAUAAACUUCUCCACAGCUCACCAGUUCACCUACCCACAGAAUCCUAUUUCUUCUCUUGUGCUAAAGGACAUCAUUUCAGCAAUAUAACCCUCUCCAUUACACAA
Molecule: non-coding RNA, 2211 nt
Organism: Callithrix jacchus (white-tufted-ear marmoset)
Lineage: Eukaryota; Metazoa; Chordata; Mammalia; Primates; Cebidae
Source: RefSeq, a predicted model, not a curated record